Molecule: RNA transcript, 1160 nt
Organism: Diospyros lotus (date-plum)
Lineage: Eukaryota; Viridiplantae; Streptophyta; Magnoliopsida; Ericales; Ebenaceae
Exons: 5
Source: RefSeq, a predicted model, not a curated record
UCUUGUUCUCGUGAAACUACUGCGAACAUUGAUGUCGGGCGGAAUCCCGGAACAUCAAGACCACCGCGCCGUCGAGGAAUCCAGCGUCGAUGCCACUGUCCCGGCGGAGUCCGACGCCAGCACCACCACAGCGAAUGAAGCCCCCGAUAACCUAGACAGUACCAAAGACGACAAUUCCGUGAGAGAUCACGAGUCUUCUUCUGAGGUGGCCAAGGGCCUCUCGACUAUGCUCUCUUCCGUGAUUAGGGAUUUCGAUUCCAGAGCUGAAGAUACGAUCCGAAGCCAGGACCAGCUCUGCUUCGCUCUUAACCGUCUCAACCGAGAGCUUGACCAACUGUUGGAAGAUGCACCCUUGCCAUUCAUUAUGCAGCAUGCUGUCAGGAUUUCCGGAGUUCGAAAAAGAGUUUCAUCAUUAAAUACAGUUUUGAAAUCCAUACAACGGCGUCUUGAUAAUAUUGAUUGCAUGUUGUCUAUGGGCUUGGCACAUGUUGAUGCUAAAAGAUAAUGUAAGAGAAACGGAGGUAAUGGAAAGUCCUGGAAAUGAAAUAUAUAAGUCACAUGCAGAUCAACUUUCAGCAAAAAAUGCAAUCUGAAAGAGCAGCCGGAGAAAGGCAAGACAACAUUAUUACGAGCCAGAAUUAGGGGUUUCAUCACCUUGCAAAUUUGUGAAAGCAAUUUCUUCAAGGCUGAAAUAGUGACUUUGUGGCUGUAGCAGUGGCAUUCAGCUGUAAUUACAUUAUUAUGGAGAGAAGUUGGUUCCCAAAUUUGGAACUUGGAAGGUUUCUAUUAUAACCAUCUGAAAUUAGUACAGAAAUGCAUUCAAUUACUUCCAACCCCGAGAACUCUAAACUUGCAUUUUAGAAGAACUGAGGACUCUGGAGACUGAUGCUUAUCAUUGAUUGAAAUUCACAAGCAAGCUUAGUGGGGAAGGAUUAAACACAAUCCUUUUCUUUUUCCCUGUUAUUGUUAUGCCAGAUGGAUAGGGCACUGUUUGAGUUUUGUUUGUGUGUGAAGGGGGAGGUGCUCUCCAUCCGAAGAGUAUAUCAACUAUCAAACAAUCAUUGCGGUGCUAAUUGCAAGUCUUCUAGAUCCACUAACUUCAAUGUUGCAUUUACUUGUUGCGUGCUGAGGUAUUACAUGCUUGCUUUUUACUUGGUCAA